This 466-nucleotide ribosomal RNA is filed under the name LMWdDNA-degrading marine bacterium 12. Its description in RNAcentral is "bacterial SSU rRNA". It matches the Rfam family "Bacterial small subunit ribosomal RNA", at positions 12 to 468 of the family's 1533-position model. The record is from RNAcentral.
UUUGAUCCUGGCUCAGAUUGAACGCUGGCGGCAGGCCUAACACAUGCAAGUCGAACGGUAACAGGAAGUGCUUGCACUUCGCUGACGAGUGGCGGACGGGUGAGUAAUGCUUGGGAACUUGCCUUUGCGAGGGGGAUAACAGUUGGAAACGACUGCUAAUACCGCAUAAUGUCUUUGAGAUUCGGUCUGAAAGACCAAACGGGGCUUAGGCUCCGGCGCAAAGAGAGGCCCAAGUGAGAUUAGCUAGUUGGUAAGGUAAAGGCUUACCAAGGCAACGAUCUCUAGCUGUUCUGAGAGGAAGAUCAGCCACACUGGAACUGAGACACGGUCCAGACUCCUACGGGAGGCAGCAGUGGGGAAUAUUGCACAAUGGGGGAAACCCUGAUGCAGCCAUGCCGCGUGUGUGAAGAAGGCCUUCGGGUUGUAAAGCACUUUCAGUUGUGAGGAAAAGUUAGUAGUUAAUACC